CUGGCCCCUCGGAGGUAGCGUUCAUUGAGUAACCGCAAGGGUCAAAGUCAAAGUCGCAUAUAUUUGGUUCUGGAAGAAUUUUCUGAAUGCCUGAAAUUUCAGUCAUCUCAGCAGCAGUGCUUGAUUGAGUCUUGAAAAAUACGGAUGCCUUCUUCUUGUCGAGACUAGUCAUGCACAUCUCCAGUGUAUAAACUGGAUUCGGGUUAUUGGCAUUGGCAGAUUCAGCUGAAGCAGAAUAGACAUGCCAGUUCUGUUGUUUAUC
Molecule: long non-coding RNA, 262 nt
Filed under: Nicotiana benthamiana
Lineage: Eukaryota; Viridiplantae; Streptophyta; Magnoliopsida; Solanales; Solanaceae
Description: long non-coding RNA (NBEN_LNC025831)
Source: RNAcentral